This 1380-nucleotide ribosomal RNA is filed under the name Triticum aestivum (bread wheat). RNAcentral describes it as "partial small subunit ribosomal RNA". The record is from RNAcentral. Lineage: Eukaryota; Viridiplantae; Streptophyta; Magnoliopsida; Poales; Poaceae.
AUGGAGUUCUCCCGCCGCGGCCGAGCCACCGACGACGGCCAACGCCCUCCGCCGCACGGAGACCCGAUGCUGGUGAUGAGGGACGCGCUGCUGUCGCAGCUCCAGAAGGACCGCCUUCGCCAGGAGAUCAUCGUGGCCGAGCUGGCCAAGAUAGAGCGUGCCAUGGCCCUGCGCGCCGCCACUGGCGGCCAGCAGGCCACGCCGACACCAGCCGGCGAAUGCUUGACGACAUGUGAGGGUAAGGCGGCUCGACAAAAUGCAGCGUCCGAUGAGCAGAGGCUGCCGGACUCCAGUGGGGCUGUUCCAGAGACUAAGACGUCGGUCGCGGAGAAGUGGGAACUAACAGGAAUAACCAUACCAGUUAAGAAGCCCAAAACACCCAUGAGAUGGAAUUGCACCGUCUGUGAGGUGCAAGCAACCAGUGAGCAGAACUUGCAGCAGCAUUAUGCUGGGCAGAAGCACUUGUUAAAUGUAGCAACACUGGACCAAAGAGCUACGGCAAGUGGUCAGAAGGCGACAACGGCAGCAGAACCUUCCCUUGGUACAGAGCACAAGAAAACCUCCUCAAUAAAAUGGAGUUGCAAUACCUGCCAGGCAACUGGCUCGGGCCAAUCGGGGUUGGAAGCGCACCUCAAAGGCAAAAGACACCAGCAGAACAUCUCAGCCACAUCCACGCCGAAGAACGUCGCGGCGGGGGAAGCAAAAUCGCAUGCCAUCAAUGUGCCAAAGCGUUCAGAGAAGCCACCAUCACCCUGGAGUUGUAGCAUUUGCCAAGCUAUAUGUACCAGCGAAUCGGACUUGAACAGCCACCUGAGGGGCAUAAGACACCACGCAAAGGUUCAGUCCUUGCUUGAAGGCAAGAACAUGGCAAGGAAAGAAAAACUGAAUCCAGAUUCAAGAUGGGCCUGCAGAAUUUGCCAAGCUCACUGUACUUGUGAACCAGACUUGGAAAACCAUCUUGCAGGCAAGAGACACCAACUAAACAUUCAGGUUUUAAGCGCGAAAACCAAGCAAGAGAAAAACAAUGCACCACGAGUGGCCAUGAGCCAAGAACCACCCUCGGAAUGGCAUUGCACAAUGUGCGAGGCCGAAUGUAACUCUAAAUCUCAAUUUGAGGAUCAUUGCAGAAGCAGCAGGCACCAACAGAAUAUAGAGGAGGUACUCGGAAAAGGCAAGACCGUGAAAGCGAGCAGUCGUAAGGCUGCAAAUGAACUACUUUCAGAUUGCUCUAACAGGAAGAAUGCGAACUCAGAAAAGUUGGAGAAACGGCAGAUAGUAUAUUUCUGUGAGCAGUGCAAUUUGCAGUGUAAUAGUGGUACAAUGCUGGCACAUCAUCGUGCUGGGAAGAAGCACCGGGAAAAGCUCGACGAAAAGAAAUAA